This is a small nuclear RNA of Octopus sinensis (East Asian common octopus), 157 nucleotides long. RefSeq annotates it as U1 spliceosomal RNA. NCBI's taxonomy places the organism in Eukaryota, Metazoa, Mollusca, Cephalopoda, Octopoda, Octopodidae. The record is from RefSeq and is a predicted model, not a curated record. The transcript has a single exon.
AUACUUACCUGGAACAGGGAUACACCAUGAUCAGCAAUAUGGUUCUCCUAGAGUGAGGCCCAUCCAUUGCACUCCGGUGGUGUUAAUUAUUAUUAUUAUUGUUGUUGUCGUUGUUGUUGUUGCUGUUGUUGUUGUUGUUAUAUUUGUAUAAUAGUAU